GAUGAAGAACGUAGCGAACUGUGAUAAGUAAUGUGAAUUGCAGAAUUCAGUGAAUCAUCGAGUCUUUGAACGCACAUUGCGCCCCCUGGCAUUCCGGGGGGCAUGCCUGUCCGAGCGUCAUUGCUGCCCUUCAAGCCCGGCUUGUGUGUUGGGUCGUCGUCCCCCCCGGGGGACGGGCCCGAAAGGCAGCGGCGGCACCGCGUCCGGUCCUCGAGCGUAUGGGGCUUUGUCACCCGCUCGAUUAGGGCCGGCCGGGCGCCAGCCGGCGUCUCCAACCUUCUAUUUUACCAGGUUGACCUCGGAUCAGGUAGGGAUACCCGCUGAACUUAAGCAUAUCAAUAAGCGGAGGA
Molecule: unclassified non-coding RNA, 350 nt
Filed under: soil metagenome
Description: partial contains 5.8S ribosomal RNA, internal transcribed spacer 2, and large subunit ribosomal RNA
Rfam family: 5.8S ribosomal RNA (bases 1-120)
Source: RNAcentral